RNAcentral lists this ribosomal RNA (1423 nucleotides) under Nostoc sp. 'Mollenhauer 1:1-150b'. RNAcentral's name for it is "bacterial SSU rRNA". It matches the Rfam family "Bacterial small subunit ribosomal RNA". Lineage: Bacteria; Bacillati; Cyanobacteriota; Cyanophyceae; Nostocales; Nostocaceae. The record is from RNAcentral.
CGCUGGCGGUAUGCUUAACACAUGCAAGUCGAACGGUGUCUUCGGACACAGUGGCGGACGGGUGAGUAACGCGUGAGAAUCUGGCUCUAGGUCUGGGACAACCACUGGAAACGGUGGCUAAUACCGGAUGUGCCGAGAGGUGAAAGGUUAACUGCCUAGAGAUGAGCUCGCGUCUGAUUAGCUAGUAGGUGGUGUAAAGGACUACCUAGGCGACGAUCAGUAGCUGGUCUGAGAGGACGAUCAGCCACACUGGGACUGAGACACGGCCCAGACUCCUACGGGAGGCAGCAGUGGGGAAUUUUCCGCAAUGGGCGAAAGCCUGACGGAGCAAUACCGCGUGAGGGAGGAAGGCUCUUGGGUCGUAAACCUCUUUUCUCAGGGAAGAACACAAUGACGGUACCUGAGGAAUAAGCAUCGGCUAACUCCGUGCCAGCAGCCGCGGUAAUACGGAGGAUGCAAGCGUUAUCCGGAAUGAUUGGGCGUAAAGCGUCCGCAGGUGGCAAUGUAAGUCUGCUGUUAAAGAGUCUAGCUCAACUAGAUAAGAGCAGUGGAAACUACAUAGCUAGAGUACGUUCGGGGCAGAGGGAAUUCCUGGUGUAGCGGUGAAAUGCGUAGAGAUCAGGAAGAACACCGGUGGCGAAGGCGCUCUGCUAGGCCGUAACUGACACUGAGGGACGAAAGCUAGGGGAGCGAAUGGGAUUAGAUACCCCAGUAGUCCUAGCCGUAAACGAUGGAUACUAGGCGUGGCUUGUAUCGACCCGAGCCGUGCCGUAGCUAACGCGUUAAGUAUCCCGCCUGGGGAGUACGCCGGCAACGGUGAAACUCAAAGGAAUUGACGGGGGCCCGCACAAGCGGUGGAGUAUGUGGUUUAAUUCGAUGCAACGCGAAGAACCUUACCAAGGCUUGACAUGUCGCGAAUCUUCUUGAAAGGGAAGAGUGCCUUCGGGAGCGCGAACACAGGUGGUGCAUGGCUGUCGUCAGCUCGUGUCGUGAGAUGUUGGGUUAAGUCCCGCAACGAGCGCAACCCUCGUUUUUAGUUGCCAGCAUUAAGUUGGGCACUCUAGAGAGACUGCCGGUGACAAACCGGAGGAAGGUGGGGAUGACGUCAAGUCAGCAUGCCCCUUACGCCUUGGGCUACACACGUACUACAAUGCUCCGGACAGAGGGCAGCAAGCAUGCGAAUGCAAGCAAAUCCCGUAAACCGGAGCUCAGUUCAGAUCGCAGGCUGCAACUCGCCUGCGUGAAGGAGGAAUCGCUAGUAAUUGCAGGUCAGCAUACUGCAGUGAAUUCGUUCCCGGGCCUUGUACACACCGCCCGUCACACCAUGGAAGCUGGUAGUGCCCGAAGUCAUUACUCCAACCUUUCGGGGAGGAGGAUGCCUAAGGCAGGACUGGUGACUGGGGUGAAGUCGUAACAAGGUAGC